This 253-nucleotide ribosomal RNA is filed under the name uncultured bacterium. Its description in RNAcentral is "partial 16S ribosomal RNA". It matches the Rfam family "Bacterial small subunit ribosomal RNA", at positions 524 to 776 of the family's 1533-position model. The record is from RNAcentral.
UACGUAGGGUGCGAGCGUUGUCCGGAAUUAUUGGGCGUAAAGCGCACGUAGGCGGUCUUGUAAGUCAGAUGUGAAAGCCCUGGGCUUAACCCAGGAAGUGCAUCUGAUACUGCAAGACUUGAGUCCCGGAGAGGGUGGUGGAAUUCCUGGUGUAGAGGUGAAAUUCGUAGAUAUCAGGAGGAACACCGGUGGCGAAGGCGACCACCUGGACGGAGACUGACGCUGAGGUGCGAAAGCGUGGGGAGCAAACAGG